UCACUUACCUGGACAGGGUCAAUGGGCUAUCAAGAAGGUUCAUGGCCUAGGUUGGUGACGUCCAUUGCACUUUGGAGGGGUGCCUGCCUAAGGUCGGCCCAAGUUGUCGAGCCUACGUCAUAAUUUGUGGCAGUGGGGGCUUGCGUUCGCGCAGCCCCUGC
Helianthus annuus (common sunflower) is the source of this 161-nucleotide non-coding RNA. The record is from Rfam. Lineage: Eukaryota; Viridiplantae; Streptophyta; Magnoliopsida; Asterales; Asteraceae.